GGAGUUAGCCGGUGCUUCUUCUGUGAGUGAUGUCCUUCCUGCCGGCUAUUAACCCGCAGGCCUUCUUCCUCACUGAAAGUGCUUUACAACCCGAAGGCCUUCUUCACACACGCGGCAUGGCUGGAUCAGGGUUGCCCCCAUUGUCCAAUAUUCCCCACUGCUGCCUCCCGUAGGAGUCUGGGCCGUGUCUCAGUCCCAGUGUGGCUGAUCAUCCUCUCAGACCAGCUACGGAUCGUCGCCUUGGUGAGCCGUUACCUCACCAACCAGCUAAUCCGACAUAGGCUCAUCCGAUAGCGCGAGUCCCGAAGGUCCCCCGCUUUCCCCCGUAGGGCGUAUGCGGUAUUAGCCUGGGUUUCCCCAGGUUAUCCCCCACUACCGGGCAGAUUCCUAUGCAUUACUCACCCGUCCGCCGCUCGCCACCAGGGAGCAAGCUCCCCGUGCUGCCGCUCGACUUGCAUGUGUUAGGCCUGCCGCCAGCGUUCAAUCUGAGCCAUAAUCAAACUCUGA
Molecule: ribosomal RNA, 507 nt
Filed under: uncultured bacterium
Lineage: Bacteria
Description: partial 16S ribosomal RNA
Source: RNAcentral